UACGUAGGUGACCAGCGUUGUCCGGAUUUACUGGGCGUAAAGAGCGCGCAGGCGGUCGUUCAAGUCGAGUGUGAAAGCCCCCGGCUCAACUGGGGAGGGUCAUUCGAUACUGAUCGACUUGAAGGCAGGAGAGGGAAGCGGAAUUCCCGGUGUAGUGGUGAAAUUCGUAGAUAUCGGGAGGAACACCAGUGGCGAAGGCGGCGAUCUGGAAGCGUACUGACGCUGAGGUGCGAAAGCGUGGGGAGCAAACAGG
This 253-nucleotide ribosomal RNA is filed under the name uncultured bacterium. Its description in RNAcentral is "partial 16S ribosomal RNA". It matches the Rfam family "Bacterial small subunit ribosomal RNA", at positions 524 to 776 of the family's 1533-position model. The record is from RNAcentral.